UACAGAGGUCUCAAGCGUUGUUCGGAUUCAUUGGGCGUAAAGGGUGCGUAGGCGGCGCGGUAAGUCGGGGUGUGAAAUCUCGGGGCUUAACUCCGAAACUGCAUUCGAUACUGCCGUGCUUGAGGACUGGAGAGGAGACUGGAAUUUACGGUGUAGCGGUGAAAUGCGUAGAUAUCGUAAGGAAGACCAGUGGCGAAGGCGGGUCUCUGGACAGUUCCUGACGUGAGGCACGAAGGCCAGGGGAGCAAACGGG
Molecule: ribosomal RNA, 253 nt
Filed under: uncultured bacterium
Lineage: Bacteria
Description: partial 16S ribosomal RNA
Rfam family: Bacterial small subunit ribosomal RNA
Source: RNAcentral